This 433-nucleotide ribosomal RNA is filed under the name uncultured bacterium. RNAcentral describes it as "partial 16S ribosomal RNA". It matches the Rfam family "Bacterial small subunit ribosomal RNA", at positions 29 to 507 of the family's 1533-position model. The record is from RNAcentral.
AACGAACGCUGGCGGCAUGCCUAACACAUGCAAGUCGAACGAGACCUUCGGGUCUUGUGGCGCACGGGUGCGUAACGCGUGGGAACCUGCCCUUAGGUUCGGAAUAACUCCCCGAAAGGGGUGCUAAUACCGGAUAAUGUCUUCGGACCAACGAUUUAUCGCCUUUGGAUGGGCCCGCGUUGGAUUAGCUAGUUGGUAGGGUAAAAGCCUACCAAGGCGACGAUCCAUAGCUGGUCUGAGAGGAUGAUCAGCCACACUGGGACUGAGACACGGCCCAGACUCCUACGGGAGGCAGCAGUGGGGAAUAUAGGAAAAUGGGCGAAAGCCUGAUCCAGCAAUGCCGCGUGAGUGAUGAAGGGCUUAGGGUUGUAAAGCUCUUUUACCCGGGAUGAUAAUGACAGUACCGGGAGAAUAAGCUCCGGCUAACUCCGUG